CCUACGGGGGGCAGCAGUGGGGAAUAUUGCACAAUGGGCGAAAGCCUGAUGCAGCAACGCCGCGUGAGCGAUGAAGGCCUUCGGGUCGUAAAGCUCUGUCCUCAAGGAAGAUAAUGACGGUACUUGAGGCGGAAGCCCCGGCUAACUACGUGCCAGCAGCCGCGGUAAUACGUAGGGGGCUAGCGUUAUCCGGAUUUACUGGGCGUAAAGGGGGCGUAGGUGGUUACUUAAGUCGGAGGUGAAAGGCUACGGCUAAACCGUAGUAAGCCUUUGAAACUGGGGAACUUGAGUGCAGGUGAGGAGAGUGGAAUUCCUAGUGUAGCGGUGAAAUGCGUAGAUAUUAGGAAGAACACCAGUUGCGAAGGCGGCUCUCUGGACUGUAACUGACACUGAGGCACGAAAGCGUGGGGAGCAAACAGGAUUAGAUACCCUGGUAGUC
RNAcentral lists this ribosomal RNA (439 nucleotides) under uncultured bacterium. RNAcentral describes it as "partial 16S ribosomal RNA". It matches the Rfam family "Bacterial small subunit ribosomal RNA", at positions 338 to 795 of the family's 1533-position model. The record is from RNAcentral.